This 131-nucleotide ribosomal RNA is filed under the name uncultured bacterium. Its description in RNAcentral is "partial 23S ribosomal RNA". It matches the Rfam family "Bacterial large subunit ribosomal RNA", at positions 1 to 131 of the family's 2925-position model. The record is from RNAcentral.
GGUUAAGUUAAUAAGGGCGCACGGUGGAUGCCUUGGCACUAGGAGCCGAAGAAGGACGGGACUAACGCCGAUAUGCUUUGGGGAGCUGUAAGUGAGCUUUGAUCCAGAGAUUUCCGAAUGGGGAAACCCGG